Molecule: long non-coding RNA, 3854 nt
Filed under: Triticum aestivum (bread wheat)
Lineage: Eukaryota; Viridiplantae; Streptophyta; Magnoliopsida; Poales; Poaceae
Description: long non-coding RNA (TAES_LNC016259)
Source: RNAcentral
UGAACUUCAUUGAGCACUUGAAACACAUAACAUACACAACUGAGGUGCAAAGCUGCGAAUGUUGAUGGAUCAAAACUGUAGAUUUUGCAAGCACUUAAUAGCUCAAUGUCAAAAGAACAUCCAUACAUGCACGAACUUUCUAUAGGAUGUUCUAAAGUUCAACUUGUAAAAGUAGAACUUGUGUAGCUUUGUCAGCAACACAAAAAUCUAUAGAAAAAUGCACCCGUUCUCAUGGGCGUAUCAACAAGCAUGUUCAGAGCACAAUUUCUUCUGGCCUUGUCCACAGAGAAACAAGUUGAGUUCCUCUUCUUUUUCUCCUCGAUGAACCACAUAGACUUGAACUCGUUCUGGCUGUCCACAUCCGACACCUUCCAGGAGACGAAGUUGUGGUCGAGUGGCCACAACCUUGGGCGUUUCCUCAGCAACUCGUGCACCGGCCUGGGAUGUGUUUGAGGUGAGACGCCCGCACGACCACACAUAGACAACACCGAAAUGUGAAGCAUGGUCGCGGCCACGCACGCACGAACACAACACACACAUAUGCGCAGUGAGCGACUCAAUGAAGAUGUGCAUCUACACGGUCACAUGGCUUCCCGUGGAAGGUGCAGCCCACUAUCGGCGGUGGUCCAUGGAGGGGAUUGAGGGAGCAGUUCGAAGGCGGGGAAUCAACGAGGUCGCAGCAGUAAAUCGGCAUGGUGGGGGCAACAUAUUCAGACCUGUCAAUUGUUAAGACAAAUAUGUGAGUUCAAAGCUAACUUAUGGUUUAGUAUCAUCAUAUUCAGAGUGAAUUUAGUUGCUCAUAGUUAGCAUGAGUUCAUGGCAGAAAAAGGUGAUACUCGAGAUAUUGAACUAAACUAAAAUUAUAUAUUGCACUUAACUAAAAUUAUAUAUUGAACUGAACCAAGAGGCAGUACGGUUCUCAUUCUGAAGCAUAACCACAUGCACUUGUUUGUGCUAUAUAUGAAGAUGGAAACACAAAGGAAAUAUGACUCACCUUCAGGAAGUAGAUGUACUAAAAAGCAUACAAAAAAUGAACUUGUGCAUCAUGUUUUUGCCGCAACCUACAAAAGUAGGAACAAAUAUGAGAGAUGAUGUUUUGUCAAGGAGAACUUACCAAGGUCUGGCAUUCGAACUUUCAAAUUUUUGUGCUAUUGAAAAUAGAGAAUAAGAGCAUGCCUCAACCAGAUCGGCGACUUCCUCGGCUCUGUGGGCGGCCUCUCAUACAGCUUGAGGGCAACAUAAUACACACACCAACUAACCAGAAUACACAACACGGCCGGCUAGAUACACAAACAGAUAAUUAAUAUAACAAACAUGUGGAAUUGCAAUGCUGAGAGCAAAACUACAUAUUGUAAUUUCAACAAAGAGAAGAGCAGAUUCCUUUUCCAUGAACAAACAGUACAAAUCUAAUCUCAGUCCCUUGAAUUCUACAUAAAUUUAUUCCAUUUAUAAACCCGAACUGAAAAUCAAAUAAAAGCUUAACUCCUUCACAAAACCACCAAAUGCACACACUUUGUUACUGCACAUGAAGGUAAGGAAAUACUGAAACCAGCAACUCUUGAGUAUGAACUGAGGUAAAUGUUUUCGCUGAACUUUUUGGUGAGUGCAUGAUUUACUUUGGCUUGCCCAGCUCUCUAAAAUCCUCAAAAAAUUCUACCCAUGCACAACUACUUGUUCAUGCACAUGCUCUCGAUGUUCUUGUUCUCGCACCAAAAUCUCAGUACAGAAUAACGUCAAAGGUUGCAGCUUCCUAAAUUCAUGAACUGUCAGUACAAGAGCGAAAGUACAGGGGUGUGUUUCUUCACUGCUUGGUUUAUAGGAUACAAACCAGGAACUGAAUUAUGUAGUUAUGUUUUCUUCCCUCAGAUUUGAAUCAAGUGCAGCACUAGUUAAAUUCAAAAUAAAUUGACAGUACAAAUCAUAGACACGGAGAUCUUCACCAUGCGGAGCUGGAAAGGAGAGAUUCAAACAAGAUGUGACCAUGCAGGUAGGCCUCGCGCCAAAUAGACGGUGGCUAAUCCUCACAAUGAUGGCUGCUGGAGCAGGCCAAGCGUCGACAGCGCUACUCCAGGGAGCUUACAAACUUUUGAAACAUGAACUUAAUCUAUUGUUUUAACUAUUGUUUUUAUUUUUUGAACUCUAAUAAAAAAUUGGGUAGCAAUCUGUCAUAUUAUAUUAUAAAACAAAACUCAGUAAGCAACUAGUAUUGCAUUAUAAAACACUCAGUUCAGUCUAGUAUAGAUAAGUACAAUAGUAGAUAGUAAAAUGCACCUUGAAGAUCUCACUGCCGGUGUGCGCAUCGAUGGUGCUGAAGACGUCGUCAAGGAGUUAGAUGUCGCAGUCCUGGUAGACGACGCGGGCGAGCUGAAUGCGCUGCUUCUGGCUGCUGCUGAGGUUGAUCCCGCACUCGCCGAUCUACAUAUGGUUGUCGUCUCCGCUACUUCAAACUCCACAAUCUAACAUCUAAAAUAAUUAGCUGCAAUUUUUUAUUUCUUUUCACUACACUGAUGUGCAAUAUACAUCUUACCAACUACACACAAAGACAUAAGUUUGACAUUUAACAUCAAUCCCUCUCAGCAUUCAUUGAUCACAUUUUUUUGAGCAUUACAUCUGUUAAAAAAUUGAAGAGCAAAUCCCGAGAGCUUGAACUUCACAAUUAGAAGAAAUCUAGUCUUUUACAAUAGCAUAUAUAUAGUAAUUUGUAUGCCAAGUAACUUCAAAACAGAACAGAAAUGAACUUUUUGCAAGAAAAGAAUAGAAUAUAUGCUACUUCUGAUCCAAACAAGGUCUCUCAUAGGAAUAACAACAAACAACUUGAGGGCCCUCAUGGCAACAACAAGAACAAGCAACAAAUUUGAACGAAUUUGAGAGAGGAGAGAUAUUCAGCAGCAGGAAUGUUCAGACUGCUGUUUAGACAAUUAUUUGGACAGCUACCAAACUGUCGUUUAGACAACUACUUGGACUGCUGAAUACGUAUAACUCUUUGCCCUUAGUAAACUACAGUUUAUUAGUACAAACUUAUAACCUUUGCCUCAAUAAACUGCAGACAACAACUAUGAACUCUUCCCUCGGUAACAACAAUUCACAAUGGGCCUGGAAGCUAGAAAUUAGAUAACUAGUACUGAAUUCAGCAGCAGAAAUGUUCGGACUCACGGUGUUAUUUAUUGUGUUUGUUUGUAAGCAAGGUUCUAACGUUAAAAGAAACAAAAAUGGAAGAUUUUUUAUGUGUGCUUGCUCACCGGUGGCGGUGCCGAGGCAGUAGGUCUUGUCGUAGAGCCUGUAAAUGUGGGAGUGGGCGGCGGUCUCAAAGAAGGUGAGCACCAACCUCUUUUGUGCUUUGUAGUGAGUAGGCUCCAAAUAAAAAUGGAUGACCACGCGGGAGGUUGCAUAUGGAUGAACUAAUGACCCAUUUUUUCUCAUACUGAAGCUUCUCUGUACUGAAGCUUGUUUCCAGAAAUCAUAUCAGUGGGUCAUUAAACACAUGCAGCAACAUCUAAAGAGGAACAUGAGAAAAAGAGGACGCCGCUAUACAAGAACUACAGUGGACAAACCAAUAAUAUAAAUCCUCAAGCAAUAAUUGAGAGAGCUCACAAUCUCCAUGGAAGAUGCAUAUGCAUUCACCGUGGAAGGGCCUCCCACGCCCCUGCUCUAUCUCCUCCCACUCCCUGCACACACACACGGAGCAGAGAGAGAAUGAGAGGGAGAUGACUGAGGCGGAUAGAGGACGGAGCAUAGGGUGGCCUGCACGCAGCUUUUCUCGUGCCCGGCUAUGGAGUGUGAUGUUGUACUAAUGAGGCAAAGGUCCAAAUAUAUCACCUAAGUAAGUUCAAAGAAUUUUACAAAAACAAGCAGGC